AUGACGGGAAGGUGGAAUGCUUCAUCAUUUAUGCUUGUCUUUUAUUUGCCUUAUAUAACAAGCUUCUUAGUUUCUAAAUGUUUAUUUGGGGAAAUGUAUGAUAUGGCAACCAAUUCUUGUGUAGGUUGUGAGAAGGGAUAUUCUGGACCAAAUUGUACCAUACGUUGUCC
Molecule: long non-coding RNA, 170 nt
Organism: Saccostrea echinata
Lineage: Eukaryota; Metazoa; Mollusca; Bivalvia; Ostreida; Ostreidae
Exons: 3
Source: RefSeq, a predicted model, not a curated record